RNAcentral lists this ribosomal RNA (253 nucleotides) under uncultured bacterium. RNAcentral's name for it is "partial 16S ribosomal RNA". It matches the Rfam family "Bacterial small subunit ribosomal RNA", at positions 524 to 776 of the family's 1533-position model. The record is from RNAcentral.
GACAGAGGGUGCAAACGUUGUUCGGAAUUACUGGGCGUAAAGCGCGUGUAGGCGGCCAUGCAAGUCGGAUGUGAAAGCCCUCGGCUCAACCGGGGAAGUGCACUCGAAACUGCAAGGCUAGAGUCUCGGAGAGGAUCGUGGAAUUCUCGGUGUAGAGGUGAAAUUCGUAGAUAUCGAGAGGAACACCUGCGGCGAAGGCGGGUUGCUGGGCUGACACUGACGCUGAAGCGCGAAAGCUAGGGGAGCGAACGGG